Molecule: ribosomal RNA, 465 nt
Filed under: Triticum aestivum (bread wheat)
Lineage: Eukaryota; Viridiplantae; Streptophyta; Magnoliopsida; Poales; Poaceae
Description: partial small subunit ribosomal RNA
Source: RNAcentral
AUGGCGUGCCACCUCGUCGCCGCCUGCGUCCCGCGUCUGGCCGUCGUGUCAUCCUCCGCCUCCGGGGACCCCGUCCGCCGUAUCCGGCGGCGCGCGCCGGGGUCGCGUCCCCAGAAGCCCUCCACGGCGGCUCCGCCCCAGCCGUCCGUCGCGGAGGUGCGGCGCGCUAUCGGCGCCGCCGACGACCCGUCCGCCUCUGGGAGGGACAAACAGUCCGGUUUCAUGGAGCUCCUCGCCUCCACGCCGAUCGGGCAGCCGGAGAGCGACGCCGAGCGCCGAAUCCGCGAGGCCGCCGAGUGGGUGGUCGACAACACCGAGUCGCGCGCACAGGAAGGGCAAAAGUCUAUCUUGGUGCUAUGCAUGAAGAUCUUUCCUCUGUGGCUGUUCCUCAUGCUUACCGCCCUUGGAGUUAUAAAAUUACCAUUUGAUAUUCCCGGUCUGGAUAUGGAUAAUCUCCUAAUGUAA